This 468-nucleotide ribosomal RNA is filed under the name uncultured bacterium. RNAcentral's name for it is "partial 16S ribosomal RNA". It matches the Rfam family "Bacterial small subunit ribosomal RNA", at positions 28 to 507 of the family's 1533-position model. The record is from RNAcentral.
GACGAACGCUGGCGGCGUGCUUAACACAUGCAAGUCGAACGGAAAGGCCCUGCUUUUGUGGGGUGCUCGAGUGGCGAACGGGUGAGUAACACGUGAGUAACCUGCCCUUGCCUUUGGGAUGACUUCAGGAAACUUGGGCUCAUCCCGGAUAGGAGCUCCCGCUUCUUGGUGGGGGCUGGAAAGUUUCGGCGGUUGGGGAUGGACACGCGGCUUAUCAGCUUGUUGGUGGGGUAGUGGCUUACCAAGGCUUUGACGGGUAGCCGGCCUGAGAGGGUGACCGGCCACAUUGGGACUGAGAUACGGCCCAGACUCCUACGGGAGGCAGCAGUGGGGAAUAUUGCACAAUGGGCGGAAGCCUGAUGCAGCAACGCCGCGUGCGGGAUGACGGCCUUCGGGCUGUAAACCGCUUUCGCCUGUGACGAAGCGUGAGUGACGGUAAUGGGUAAAGAAGCACCGGCUAACUACGUG